UUUCAAAUCUAGAUUUUUGAUCUACCUCCAUAUUUGUCUCUAGAAUAAUAGGUGCCCAUUCAGUUUCCCAUGAUAAGUCUUUUGCCUUUGUCCACAGCUGGAGGGCAUUCCCUACAUUUCCAGCCUUAGCUUUUCCCAGAAGGACUAGCAGAGUCUCAAUCCUAAUUACUAUUUAAAGUAGUACCCAAACCAGACUAGCACAACUCACCAAGCCCCAGUCCUCCCUCCUGAGCUACUAUAAGUUCAACUGGUUGACUGGUCCCCUAGCCCCUUGCAAAGAACAUGCACUCAAUGUAUAUUUCUUAAUAAAUGGAUGAAUACUUUAUUCUACUGGAGAGAUAGAAGAAGAGAAACAGGAGAGACAUUCUAGUAGAAAAGUAAUAUUAAUGAGGCCAAAUGUGUUCAUUUGUCUUUUUACCUAAUAGACAAUAAAAGAUUGCCCUAUUAGAAGAGAAGCUCAAGGCUGGACGAAAUGCCAAAGUGUCUUUUAGAGAAACCAAAUCAACGAUCUGUCAGACUCCUACCGCACAUUAGAAGAAAACAAAUGAAACAAAUGUUUUGAAGAUGUCUCCAGAGGUGCCCAGUAGAAGGGGGUGGGAAUGGAGAUGUAAGCGAGGAAAUGGUCUGUUUUGUGCCUUGAAAUAAAC
This 647-nucleotide long non-coding RNA is filed under the name Cercocebus atys (sooty mangabey). Its description in RNAcentral is "lncRNA (ENSCATG00000045850.1)". Lineage: Eukaryota; Metazoa; Chordata; Mammalia; Primates; Cercopithecidae. The record is from RNAcentral.